This 68-nucleotide transfer RNA is filed under the name Alpheus randalli. RNAcentral's name for it is "tRNA-Ser". The record is from RNAcentral. Lineage: Eukaryota; Metazoa; Arthropoda; Malacostraca; Decapoda; Alpheidae.
AGGGCGGCCCAGAGGAAGCUUAGGCUUCUAACCUUUAGCUUAAGCGGUUAAAUUCCGUUUCCACCCUU